UGCUUGGGAGCCGCUUCAUCCGUCACAGAUCCGUGGGACGGGCCGAUCACGGGCACUGCUCCGUGCAUGCACCGCUGGUCUCAGCUUCCUACAUCGAACCUAGCAGUCUUCCCGGCGCAAGCUCUGUUUUGGGAGAGCCGUGGUUGAAUCCGCACGCGGACAGCAUCUACUGAGCACCACCUGAGAACACCUUCACGUCACCAGGACGACAGCGACGAACCAGGCUCUUGGGCUUAAAAGAGGCAGCGCCAGCAACGGCCUUCAGUGGACGCGGCGGCAGGGCCAUGACACUGUCGCUUGACGUACCAUUGUUCAUGGAGGGAGGUUGUUGUUGCUAUCGGAUGACACAGAAGAAAGUCUUGGGCCUACUAACGCGGAAAUGAUUUAGGAGCCUCUUGAAACGCAGAAGGUUGUCCCUUAAGCCUGCUGCCCGCCAGGACCGCGAAGCGGAAGAAAAUCUGAACGGUUCAUGUGGCCCCGAUCCCACAAACUUGGAACGUUCCACCGGAGCAACGGCCAGGUUUCAGAGGGAGCUUGUAAGGAACACAUCGUGUGUGCCCUGUGUUGUGUGAGCGCUUGUGGUUUUCGAGUGACCUCGGAUCCAUUACUGCACUGCAGGACGUGGACCAACGCACGAUCGCCUUGGCUACGGUUAAGGAAUGUGUGCCCUCGCAGUACGGUGAGGUGCGUGUCGGUUCUGCGUGCCGAGAUUCGUUAGUAAAAGGUGUCGUGCCGCGUUUUGCAACAAUGUAGUACUACAGCGUGCCAAUAGGCUGUUCCAGGGUUCCCCGAAAGGACCUCAGCCCGCUCCUGAUAUUGAAAUCUGAGCGAAGAAGAAAGACAGCGUGGAAACCGGCUGCUCCAGGAUUGCACGAAAAGACCUCAGCGCGCGCCUAAUCUUGCAGGCUAAGCGAAGAAGAAAGACAGUGUGCAUGCAAACUGGCUGUUCCAGGAUUCCACGAAAGGACCUCAGCCCGCGCCUCACCUUGCUGUGGCUGAGCGAAUAAGAAAGACAGCGUGCAAAGCGGCUUUUCGAGGAUUGCACGUAAGGAGCUCCGUCCGCGCCUCACUUUGCGGGCUGAGCGAAGAACGAAGA
Molecule: long non-coding RNA, 1096 nt
Organism: Dermacentor andersoni
Lineage: Eukaryota; Metazoa; Arthropoda; Arachnida; Ixodida; Ixodidae
Source: RefSeq, a predicted model, not a curated record